This 253-nucleotide ribosomal RNA is filed under the name uncultured bacterium. RNAcentral's name for it is "partial 16S ribosomal RNA". It matches the Rfam family "Bacterial small subunit ribosomal RNA", at positions 524 to 776 of the family's 1533-position model. The record is from RNAcentral.
UACGAAGGGCCCGAGCGUUAUUCGGAAUCACUGGGCUUAAAGCGUACGUAGGCUGGCAUGCAGGCAUCUUGUGAAAUCCCUCCGCUCAACGGAGGAACUGCAGGGUGAACCGCAUGCCUUGAGACAGGUAGGGGCUGUCGGAACGCUAGGUGGAGUGGUGAAAUGCGUUGAUAUCUAGCGGAACGCCGAAGGAGAAAUCAGGCAGCUGGGCCUGUUCUGACGCUCAGGUACGAAAGCGUGGGGAGCGAACGGG